Xenia sp. Carnegie-2017 is the source of this 399-nucleotide long non-coding RNA. RefSeq lists it as uncharacterized. The transcript has 2 exons. NCBI's taxonomy places the organism in Eukaryota, Metazoa, Cnidaria, Anthozoa, Malacalcyonacea, Xeniidae. The record is from RefSeq and is a predicted model, not a curated record.
UUCAAAGAGCCAAAAAAGUAAAAGAGAAAGAAUGAAAUGCACUUUCAAGGCUGAAAAUAUUGACUUCCAGGUUCUUUAUGAAGGCAUUUCGCAUACCAUUACCUGGUGUACUAAUCAUUUACUUUUUGCUCGUUUCCGCUGUGAAAAAAGUAUUGAAAUUCCCAAGAAAGAAGUCUGCUUUAAAAGAAGACAACAUACCACUUUUUACAUUUACAAUAAUUACUGCCACGCCGCCACUAAACUGUAAAUGUCUUAAACAAACAGAAUACUUUUUAAGUUUCAAUUUGUCGUAUGAAAAUGACCGACAGAAGAAUUGGAAGUUUCUUCCAAACAUUUUUAUUCAGUAAUUUCUCUCUAAACUGGUGUUUGUCAUUUAAAUUAAUAAAGGUACUAACUCUA